Perognathus longimembris pacificus (Pacific pocket mouse) is the source of this 442-nucleotide long non-coding RNA. RefSeq lists it as uncharacterized. Lineage: Eukaryota; Metazoa; Chordata; Mammalia; Rodentia; Heteromyidae. The transcript is spliced from 2 exons. The record is from RefSeq and is a predicted model, not a curated record.
AGUAUAAGGCCUUGUGAGUUCAAAACCCAAGAACCACCAAAAGUAAAAAGAAUUUUAAAAAAUAAAUGAAAGGUAAAGGUUUUAUUUUACUCCAUUAUUUCUUUCAUUCUUUCUUUAUUUAGAUCUGAGCUUCUGACCCAUCUAAUUCGCCUUCGCUCCAAAGAACUUUUUUUUUGACAAGGCCUCAAUAGGUAGUCCAAGCUAGCCUUCAAUUCACUGAUCCUCCUUCAUCUGCCUCCAGAAAAAAAAAUUUUUUUUAAUUAAAAAAAUUUUUUCUUGCAAAGUAGAUCCACUGGCAAUGAGUUCUCUCAUCCUUGUUUACCUGUGAGAGUCUAUUUUGCCUUCACUUUUUUUUUUUUUUUUUUGACCAUUUUUUUUGACCAACUUUAAUUUUCUUAGAUAUAUCAAACAUUUAUUAGUGUUUUUUUUCUUUUAGAAAAAU